GCCCCCGUAGCUCAAUGGACAGAGCACCGGACUUCUAAUCCGUAGGUUGUGCGUUCGAGUCGCACCGGGGGCGCCU
RNAcentral lists this transfer RNA (76 nucleotides) under Anaerolineaceae bacterium. Its description in RNAcentral is "tRNA-Arg". It matches the Rfam family "tRNA". From Rfam's summary of the family: Transfer RNA (tRNA) molecules are approximately 80 nucleotides in length. Their secondary structure includes four short double-helical elements and three loops (D, anti-codon, and T loops). The record is from RNAcentral. Lineage: Bacteria; Bacillati; Chloroflexota; Anaerolineae; Anaerolineales; Anaerolineaceae.